Pogona vitticeps (central bearded dragon) is the source of this 713-nucleotide non-coding RNA. NCBI's taxonomy places the organism in Eukaryota, Metazoa, Chordata, Lepidosauria, Squamata, Agamidae. The record is from RefSeq and is a predicted model, not a curated record.
CCCCCACACACACACCGGAACUUCUCCUUCCCCCUCCUCAUCUCUUGACCCUCCAUCCAGGAAGCGGCGAGACUGAGUUGAUGUCUCUUUGCUUUAUUUUGGGACCAAAAACAAAGAACCAAAUCCCAGAUCCCUCCAAACAUCAUUUCCCAGACAAGCCAGGCUGGGGGAUUUUGUGCUUUGGACUCUUAUGACAAUAGAAUAACAGGUAAGGUCAUUUUUGUUCCCACCUUCUCCUUCAAUGUCACUCUCCAGAUGGGUCCAUGCACAGACAGUCUCAAGAAUAGACUACUGUAAUCCUCUUUCUGUGAGGCUUCCUUUGAGGCUGACACCGGACUCUCCCCCUCCUGUCGUCUCCUCUGGGAAGGUGAUUCCACACCCCCACGUGGGGGAAGGUUCUUCCGUUUCACAUUCUCUCUUUUCUCCUCUUUCUAUUUGUGUCCACUCUUCCCUUAUCUUUCGGCUCCAUCCUCCUUUGCUGGCUGAGCGAGGGUUCCUUCCCCUUUCUGCCUCUUCUCUCGGUAUCAUCAACCUCUCCCAGAUAGGAAUUCAUGGGUUCUCCAUCCAAAAACCUUCCCACCCAUCUAGGAAUACCUUACUCUCUUCAUCUGAUUUUGGUAUUGCCCACCUGGUGAUGCCCACCUGGUGAUGUCCAUCUGUUGGAAAAGGGUAUUUGUGAUGACAAGCUUGUUCUCUUGACAAAACUCUAUUAG